AGUGGCGGACGGGUGAGUAACGCGUGAGAAUCUGCCUUGGGGUCGGGGACAACCACUGGAAACGGUGGCUAAUACCGGAUAAGCCGAUUGGUGAAAGAUUUAUUGCCCGAAGAGGAGCUCGCGUCUGAUUAGCUAGUUGGUGAGGUAAGAGCUCACCAAGGCAGCGAUCAUUAGCUGGUCUGAGAGGACGAUCAGCCACACUGGGACUGAGACACGGCCCAGACUCCUACGGGAGGCAGCAGUGGGGAAUUUUCCGCAAUGGGCGAAAGCCUGACGGAGCAAGACCGCGUGAGGGAGGAAGGCUCUUGGGUUGUAAACCUCUUUUCUCAGGGAAGAAGCUCUGACGGUACCUGAGGAAUCAGCCUCGGCUAACUCCGUGCCAGCAGCCGCGGUAAUACGGAGGAGGCAAGCGUUAUCCGGAAUUAUUGGGCGUAAAGCGUCCGCAGGUGGCGAUUCAAGUCUGCUGUCAAAGCACGGGGCUUAACUCCGUAAAGGCAGUGGAAACUGAAUAGCUAGAGUGCCGUAGGGGUAGAGGGAAUUCCCGGUGUAGCGGUGAAAUGCGUAGAGAUCGGGAAGAACAUCGGUGGCGAAAGCGCUCUACUGGACGGCAACUGACACUCAGGGACGAAAGCUAGGGGAGCGAAUGGGAUUAGAUACCCC
This 660-nucleotide ribosomal RNA is filed under the name uncultured bacterium. RNAcentral describes it as "bacterial SSU rRNA". It matches the Rfam family "Bacterial small subunit ribosomal RNA", at positions 94 to 788 of the family's 1533-position model. The record is from RNAcentral.